RNAcentral lists this ribosomal RNA (2826 nucleotides) under Cylindrospermopsis raciborskii Cr2010. Its description in RNAcentral is "bacterial LSU rRNA". It matches the Rfam family "Bacterial large subunit ribosomal RNA". The record is from RNAcentral. Lineage: Bacteria; Bacillati; Cyanobacteriota; Cyanophyceae; Nostocales; Aphanizomenonaceae.
GUGGUCAAGCUAAUAAGGGCUCAUGGUGGAUACCUAGGCACACAGAGGCGAAGAAGGACGUGGUUACCUGCGAAAAGUUCCGGGGAGUUGGAAGCAAACAGAGAGCCGGAAAUAUCCGAAUGGGGCAACCCUGAACACUGCCUGUUGAAUAUAUAGACAGGAAAGAGCGAACCUGGCGAAUUGAAACAUCUUAGUAGCCAGAGGAAAAGAAAUCAAAAGAGAUUCCCCGAGUAGUGGUGAGCGAAAGGGGAAGAGCCUAAACCAAGGGGUAUACCUCUUGGGGUAGUGGGACAGCAACAUCGAAUCUAGAGACUAGACGAAGCAGCUAAAUACUGCACCAGAGGGGGUGAAAGUCCUGUAGUCGAAAGUCAAAGGAUAGAAGCUGAAUCCCGAGUAGUACGGGGCACGAGAAAUCCCGUAUGAAUCAGCGAGGACCAUCUCGUAAGGCUAAAUACUACUGUGUGACCGAUAGAGAACAAGUACCGCGAGGGAAAGGUGAAAAGAACCCCGGGAGGGGAGUGAAAAAGAACAUGAAACCGUGAGCUUACAAGCAGUGGGAGUCCGAUUAAACGGAUGACCGCGUGCCUGUUGAAGAAUGAGCCGGCGACUUAUAGGUACUGGUAGGUUAAAGCGGGAAUGCUGGAGCCAAAGGGAAACCGAGUCUGAAAAGGGCGCUAAUCAGUAUUUAUAGACCCGAACCCUGGUGAUCUAACCAUGGCCAGGAUGAAGCUUGGGUAAAACCAAGUGGAGGUCCGAACCGACCGAUGUUGAAAAAUCGGCGGAUGAGCGGUGGUUAGGGGUGAAAUGCCAAUCGAACCAGGAGCUAGCUGGUUCUCCCCGAAAUGUGUUGAGGCGCAGCGGUAAUGAAAAAAUUGGGGGGUAAAGCACUGUUUCGGUGCGGGCUGGGAGACCGGUACCAAAUCGAGGCAAACUAAGAAUACCCAAGGAGCACAUUGCCAGUGAGACGGUGGGGGAUAAGCUUCAUCGUCAAGAGGGAAACAGCCCAGACCACCAGCUAAGGUCCCCAAAUCAUCACUAAGUGAAAAAGGAGGUGGGGUUGCAAAGACAACUAGGAGGUUUGCCUAGAAGCAGCCACCCUUGAAAGAGUGCGUAAUAGCUCACUAGUCAAGCGAUCCUGCGCCGAAAAUGAAAGGGGCUAAGUGAUGUACCGAAGCUGUGGGAUUAGAAAUAAUCGGUAGGGGAGCGUUCCGUAGUAGUGAGAAGCAGUAGCGGCAAGCAGCUGUGGACGAGACGGAAGUGAGAAUGUCGGCUUGAGUAGCGCAAACAUUGGUGAGAAUCCAAUGCCCCGAAACCCUAAGGGUUCCAGAGGCAGGUUCGUCCACUCUGGGUUAGUCGGGACCUAAGGCGAGGUCGAAAGGCGUAGUCGAUGGAGACCGGGUCAACAAUCCCGGACUACAAUAUGGGAGCAGAACUAGGGACGCAUGAAAGAUAGCCACGCCCUGAAUGGAUUGGGAAGACCGUUACGACGGUCGAGUGGUGAAGGAAAGUGCCAAGAAAAGCUAGGGUUGUGAUGAACAUAUAGUACCCGUACCCGAAACCGACACAGGUAGGGAGGUUGAGAAUACCAAGGGGCGCGAGAUAACUCUCUCUAAGGAACUCGGCAAAAUGGCCCCGUAACUUAGGAAGAAGGGGUGCCUGCCGAAAGGCAGGUCGCAGUGAAGAGAUCCAGGCGACUGUUUACCAAAAACACAGGUCUCCGCCAACUCGAAAGAGGACGUAUGGGGGCUGACGCCUGCCCAGUGCCGGAAGGUUAAGGAAGUUGGUCAGUGGAAACAUGAAGCUGACGACCGAAGCCCCGGUGAACGGCGGCCGUAACUAUAACGGUCCUAAGGUAGCGAAAUUCCUUGUCGGGUAAGUUCCGACCCGCACGAAAGGCGUAACGAUCUGGAUGGUGUCUCAGAGAGAGACUCGGCGAAAUAGGAAUGUCUGUGAAGAUACGGACUACCUGCACCUGGACAGAAAGACCCUAUGAAGCUUUACUGUAGCCUGGAAUUGUGUUCGGGCUUGGCUUGCGCAGGAUAGGUGGGAAGCGAAGAACUUCUCCUUGAGGGGGGAAGGGAGCUAACGGUGAGAUACCACUCUGGCGAAGCUAGAAUUCUAACUAAUCACCGUAAGCCGGUGAGAGGAAAGUUUCAGGUGGGCAGUUUGACUGGGGCGGUCGCCUCCUAAAAGGUAACGGAGGCGCGCAAAGGUUCUCUCAGCACGCUUGGAAACCGUGCGACGAGUGUAAAGGCAAAAAGAGAGCUUGACUGCAAGACCAACAAGUCGAGCAGGGACGAAAGUCGGCCUUAGUGAUCCGACGGCGCAGCAUGGAAUGGCCGUCGCUCAACGGAUAAAAGUUACUCUAGGGAUAACAGGCUGAUCUCCCCCAAGAGUCCACAUCGACGGGGAGGUUUGGCACCUCGAUGUCGGCUCAUCGCAACCUGGGGCGGAAGUACGUCCCAAGGGUUGGGCUGUUCGCCCAUUAAAGCGGUACGUGAGCUGGGUUCAGAACGUCGUGAGACAGUUCGGUCCAUAUCCGGUGCAGGCGAAAGAACAUUGAGAGGAGUCCUCCUUAGUACGAGAGGACCGGGAGGAACGAACCGCUGGUGUACCAGUUAUUCCGCCAGGAGUAGACGCUGGGUAGCCAAGUUCGGAGAGGAUAACCGCUGAAAGCAUCUAAGUGGGAAGCCCACCUUAAGAUGAGUGUUCUCACUACGAGAGUAGGUAAGGUCACGGGGAGAACACCCGUUGAUAGGCUUUAUGUGGAAGUACAGUAAUGUAUGUAGCAGAGAAGUCCUAACAGACCGAGGGCUUGACCUCAAA